AAUAAAGUGCCUGAUAAAUAGGGUUGUUUUGAUAGAGCAAAAUAUGUGUAUUACACCUUUAUUA
RNAcentral lists this transfer RNA (64 nucleotides) under Hemisodorcus rubrofemoratus. Its description in RNAcentral is "tRNA-Ile". The record is from RNAcentral. Lineage: Eukaryota; Metazoa; Arthropoda; Insecta; Coleoptera; Lucanidae.